GCUGGGUGUGAUGGUGCACACCUAUAGUCCCAGCUACUUGGGAGGCUGAGGUUGGGGGAUCACUAGAGCUCAGGAGGUUGAGGCUGCAGUGAGCUGUGAUUGCACCACUGCACUCCAGCCUGGGCAACAGAGUGAGAUCCUGUCUCUA
Pongo abelii (Sumatran orangutan) is the source of this 148-nucleotide unclassified non-coding RNA. It matches the Rfam family "Metazoan signal recognition particle RNA". From Rfam's summary of the family: The signal recognition particle (SRP) is a universally conserved ribonucleoprotein. It is involved in the co-translational targeting of proteins to membranes. Lineage: Eukaryota; Metazoa; Chordata; Mammalia; Primates; Hominidae. The record is from Ensembl.